UACGAAGGUGGCAAGCGUUACUCGGAAUUACUAGGCGUAAAGGGCAGGUAGGUGGUUUGGUAAGUCUAUUGUGAAAGCUCCCGGCUUAACUGGGAGAGGUCAAUGGAUACUGCCGAACUUGAGUAUAGGAGAGGUUACUGGAAUUCCCGGUGUAGCGGUGAAAUGCGCAGAGAUCGGGAGGAACACCAAUGGCGAAGGCGAGUCCCUGGACAACACCUGACACUGAGGCACGAAAGCUAGGGGAGCAAACAGG
Molecule: ribosomal RNA, 253 nt
Filed under: uncultured bacterium
Lineage: Bacteria
Description: partial 16S ribosomal RNA
Rfam family: Bacterial small subunit ribosomal RNA
Source: RNAcentral